RNAcentral lists this ribosomal RNA (275 nucleotides) under uncultured bacterium. RNAcentral describes it as "partial 16S ribosomal RNA". It matches the Rfam family "Bacterial small subunit ribosomal RNA", at positions 523 to 797 of the family's 1533-position model. The record is from RNAcentral.
AUACGGAGGGUGCAAGCGUUAAUCGGAAUUACUGGGCGUAAAGCGUACGUAGGCGGUUUAUUAAGUCAGAUGUGAAAGCCCCGGGCUUAACCUGGGAACUGCAUUUGAAACUAGUAGACUAGAGUAUGGUAGAGGGGGGUAGAAUUCCUAGUGUAGCGGUGAAAUGCGUAGAUAUUAGGAGGAAUACCAGUGGCGAAGGCGGCCCCCUGGACCAAUACUGACGCUGAGGUACGAAAGCGUGGGGAGCGAACAGGAUUAGAAACCCUAGUAGUCCC